GGGGUUGUGGCUCAGUGGUAGAGCCCUUGCCUAGCAUGCAUGAGGCAGUGGGUUCCAUCCUCAGCACCA
This 69-nucleotide transfer RNA is filed under the name Marmota monax (woodchuck). It matches the Rfam family "tRNA". From Rfam's summary of the family: Transfer RNA (tRNA) molecules are approximately 80 nucleotides in length. Their secondary structure includes four short double-helical elements and three loops (D, anti-codon, and T loops). Lineage: Eukaryota; Metazoa; Chordata; Mammalia; Rodentia; Sciuridae. The record is from Rfam by way of RNAcentral.